GUCAGUUUAUGUGUCAGUUCGCGUUAGUCAUGGUCCAUUUUGCGAGUGACUCAAAGGAAAGGGUUCGGUGCAGGAUGAAGAGAAAGAGGGGAAACUUGCUGUUUGGAAUUCCCAAAUUCAUUUCCACGCCUAUAUUUUGAAUAAAACGAAAUAGGAAUAAAAUGCUGUGGUGGUGUGAUGCGGCCUGGCGUUGGAGUUGUUGAGUUCCUGUUACCACCCUGAAGUUGUUUCUUUUCGUUAAACAUCAGGUCUUACAACAUCAGGUGUGUUAUUUCUCUCAUAACACAUUAAUUUGAACAUGUUACAUUUUCUAACCAAUUAUAUUUACAUUUUAUUUUGUGGAACUUCUGUGGAAUGACCACCAAACUAGUAUAUGAAAUCAAAUUUGUGACAAACUUAUUGAAACAACAAAAAAUAACUUUACCCAGAAACUAGAAACUCCUCUGUCCUGAAAACUUACUGUUACAAGGCACUGACACUAGAGAUUCCUUUCAUUAAUGACAUAUAAACAUCUCCUUAAUAUCAAAGGUUAUGCAUUUUCCUUUGCUGCACGUUUUGUAGUCUGUUGAUUUACUAUUCUUAGACUCAGACUAUUGUACAGCAUACGCAGUUUAACUCCUUGUCAAGUAGUUAUUACUAUAGAAACGAUAACUUCUUAGCAUUAAUGUUAACCUGUCUCCUUCCUUUUGCAUGUGUGUAAAACCUGAUGGUUUGUCUCUACCCCUCUAUUGAAGUUUUUCACGAGUUAUUUUGAAGCAAAAUAGACUUCAUGCAGACUCUUAUGUUUAAAACAACACUAAUAAAUUAAAUGUU
Molecule: long non-coding RNA, 813 nt
Organism: Ictalurus punctatus (channel catfish)
Lineage: Eukaryota; Metazoa; Chordata; Actinopteri; Siluriformes; Ictaluridae
Source: Ensembl